GACGGAGGGUGCUAGCGUUGUUCGGAAUCACUGGGCGUAAAGGGCGCGUAGGCGGCCUUGCAAGUCGGUUGGUGAAAGCCCGGGGCUCAACCCCGGAGGUGCGGCCGAGACUGCAGGGCUGGAGGCCGGAAGAGGAGGGUGGAAUACCCAGUGUAGAGGUGAAAUUCGUAGAUAUUGGGUGGAACACCGGUGGCGAAAGCGGCUCUCUGGUCCGGAACUGACGCUGAGGCGCGAAAGCGUGGGGAGCAAACAGG
RNAcentral lists this ribosomal RNA (254 nucleotides) under uncultured bacterium. RNAcentral describes it as "partial 16S ribosomal RNA". It matches the Rfam family "Bacterial small subunit ribosomal RNA", at positions 524 to 776 of the family's 1533-position model. The record is from RNAcentral.